Molecule: ribosomal RNA, 226 nt
Filed under: uncultured bacterium
Lineage: Bacteria
Description: partial 16S ribosomal RNA
Rfam family: Bacterial small subunit ribosomal RNA
Source: RNAcentral
UACGUAGGGCGCAAGCGUUGUCCGGAAUUAUUGGGCGUAAAGAGCUCGUAGGCGGUUUGUCGCGUCUGCUGUGAAAACCUAAGGCUCAACCUUGGGCUUGCAGUGGGUACGGGCAGACUAGAGUGCGGUAGGGGUGACUGGAAUUCCUGGUGUAGCGGUGGAAUGCGCAGAUAUCAGGGAGGAACACCGAGUGGCGAAAGGCAGGUCACUGGGCCGCAACUGACGC